Molecule: long non-coding RNA, 1090 nt
Organism: Felis catus (domestic cat)
Lineage: Eukaryota; Metazoa; Chordata; Mammalia; Carnivora; Felidae
Exons: 3
Source: RefSeq, a predicted model, not a curated record
UGCCAGGUGAUAUCCAUGAAUCUUAAAUUUGAGAACCACUGAUCUCCAGGAUAAAGGUCAAAUCCUUUAGUAUGGGACCUGACUACUGUCCUUGCCUGGAUCCUAUUUUGCUGAAUCACCUGUAGUUUGCGUUCAUCCCAACACCCCAUGUUCCAACAGUCCCAAAUUUGCCUUUCCACAUGUUGCCCCUCCACCUAGACUAUCCUUAGCAAAUAAAGUCUUGAAUCCAUAAGCUUCUAAUCAGGACUGAUACUAGAAGAGCAUAUAGGAAAACUAUGGUCAAGAAAUCAGUCACUUCUUUCCAUUCCAAAUGUCCUUCACGAAACCCUCUUAAACAUGAUGAUGAAGGUAUCAGAAGGGUGAAGUCCAUGAGACAAAGGAAUGGGACACGUGAUGAAAGAUGACAGCAAAAUGUUUGAAGCUGGGAAACAGAUUCAAUCUGUCUUAGGAACUACGUCUGUGUUUGUGGAGAAGUGAAUUGGUGGGGAGCCAAGAAACAAGCCGAUUCGGGACUUAGAGGCACACUGUGUUUCAAGAAUAUGUAGGUGGGACCAAUGGGCAGAUCGGUUGGAAUUUUGCAUUUGAAGCAAUUGGAGUCCUAACUACCCUCAUUAUCACACACAACAGCGUCCCUACCCACCCAGUUUCAGGCAGAUGGCCUAAGAUGUACUCUCUUAAACCAGAGGGAGCUUGGGCACAAAAAUUAGAGGAAGGGAGCUGUCAUGAGCACAAAGGACUAAGUGAAUGUUUCCAUCCUGACAUGUGAGAACACUAAACUUUAAGCCUUUUGGCCCCGGCCCAGCAGCCAUGCUUGCCCUCCUCAAGGAGAGCAUUAUAGAUUUCUCUCUGAGGAAACCAAUCUACCGAAGUGAAAAGACCUACAAUAACCACUUCAUGACUUCCUAAGGAGUUCACUGCCCAAUAUUCUCAUGACUGCUGAGCUCCUUUGUAUUUCACUUUUAAACACAAACAGACAGGGGCGCCUGGGUGGCUCAGUUGGUUAAGCGUCCCACUUCGGCUCAGGUCAUGAUCUCACGGUCUGUCAGUUCGAGCCCCGCAUCGGGCUCUGUGCUGACAGCUCAGAGCCUGG